AAAAAGUAACCCCUGGUGAAUGGGGUAGAGACCCCGGUGAAUGGGGUAGAGACCCCGAUGCAAGGGGUAGAUCUCAGGAAUGAAAAAAAAAAUAUGUAAAAUAAAUGAAAAAUGACAUCAACAACAACAAAAAUGCUCUCUCAAUUAUUAUAAAUUUCACUCCAUACCAUACUUGAGUUGUCAAGGAGUACAAUGUAGUUUGAUGCUGUAAUGAAUAUUGUGAUUCCCCUGUGAUUUAUGAGGAGGAAGGAAAAAGAGGAGGUAGGUAAACCACAGAGCUCCCUCCCCCGUGAUUGGGGAGGAGGGAGGUAAACCACAGAGCUCCCCCCGUGAUUGGGGAGGAGGGAGGUAAACCACAGAGCUCCCCCCCGUGAUUGGGAGGAGGGAGGUCAGAGCUCCCCCCGUGAUUGGGGAGGAGGGAGGUCAGAGCUCCCCCCGUGAUUGGGGAGGAGGGAGGUCAGAGCUCCCCCCCGUGAUUGGGGAGGAGGCAGGUAAACCCUGUGAUUGGGGAGGAGGGAGGUAAACCACGGAACUCCCCCCGUAAUUGGGGAGGAGAGAGGUGGAUAGGGGAAAAGAGAGAGACCCCUGGCUAUAAGACCCCGAUGAGUGGGGUAGAGACCCCGGUGCAGGGGGUAGAUCUCAGGAAUGAAAAACAAUAUGUAAAAUAAAUGACGAAAUGAAAAAUGACAUCAACAAAAAUGGUGUUUCUUUCAAUUCUUCUCAAUAAAAUUUCACUCCAUACCAUAUUUUCUAUCUAAUCCAGUUUUGUUUCUUUCAGGAGACCAGUCAUUUGAAGAACAUCACAUUGGAUUUGUCACAUAUCCCAUACGUUAUUCUUCAUUCCUUGAUAUAUGUUUUAUUUUUGUAAUGCCAUCAAUGGUAUUGUUAUAUUUUCCUUCCAUUUUCCUUGUUAUUGUCACAUUCUAACUAAAAAGAAAGUUCCAUGUAAUCCCUUGUUUAGUAGAUGUUCAUUAUUGUAAUACUGUCUGUAAUAAAUCAAUUUUUUCCUUUGUUUCAAGGGUCAAGCAGUUACAUGGUUGGAAGAUCCUGCACAGAGCAUACAGCAGAUGGGACCUCUCCUAGGGAAGGAAGCAGAACUUGGUCCAGGAGAAACAGACCGGGGAGGAACCAGCCAUCAGCAGAAGGAUACAGCACAUAGUAUAUGUAUGGUAUAUAAUUUUGUAAAUAAUUGUAUAUACAAGUCAUGUAAAGCUUCUCAAAUAUCAAUAAUAUAUGUAGUGGCAUAGAAAAUGUAAGGUAUACAGGUAUAAUUAUGCCAACCAUGUGUAGAUUAUUCAAUAUGAAUGUAGUAGUUUCUUAGUGUAUACAAGUCGUGUAUAGCAUAUUCAACAUCUGAUAUUUGUAGUGGCAUAGUACAUGUAUGAUAUAAAAAUCAUGUCAAUCAUAUGUUGAUUAUUUCAUGUAUGAAUGUAGUGUUUUAGAGUAUAUGCAAGUCAUGUACAUCUUAUUCAAUAUUUAUGUGUCAUAGUGUAUUUGAUUAAUGUAUAGUUCAAUAUGUAUAGUUUAUAUAUGUAUAGUUUUAUAGUUAAUCAAUAUAUAGUCAUGUAUAGUUUCCUUUUCUUUGCAAUUAUACCUUCAAAAUGUAUCAAAUCUCAUCAUUGUAAGUACCUGUAAUAGGAUUGUGAGAUAAGAGUGGUGAUGUGAAAUUUUGUAAGUAAAACUGUCGAGACUCAAA
Long non-coding RNA from Branchiostoma belcheri (Belcher's lancelet), 1696 nucleotides. RefSeq lists it as uncharacterized. The transcript has 2 exons. The record is from RefSeq and is a predicted model, not a curated record. NCBI's taxonomy places the organism in Eukaryota, Metazoa, Chordata, Leptocardii, Amphioxiformes, Branchiostomatidae.